RNAcentral lists this ribosomal RNA (443 nucleotides) under uncultured bacterium. Its description in RNAcentral is "partial 16S ribosomal RNA". It matches the Rfam family "Bacterial small subunit ribosomal RNA", at positions 338 to 795 of the family's 1533-position model. The record is from RNAcentral.
CCUACGGUCGGCAGCAGUGGGGAAUAUUGGGCAAUGGGCGCAAGCCUGACCCAGCAACGCCGCGUGAAGGAAGAAGGCUUUCGGGUUGUAAACUUCUUUUCUCAGGGACGAAGCAAGUGACGGUACCUGAGGAAUAAGCCACGGCUAACUACGUGCCAGCACCCGCGGUAAUACGUAGGUGGCAAGCGUUAUCCGGAUUUACUGGGUGUAAAGGGCGUGUAGGCGGUACUGCAAGUCAGAUGUGAAAACCAUGGGCUCAACCUAUGGCCUGCAUUUGAAACUGUAGUUCUUGAGUACUGGAGAGGCAGACGGAAUUCCUAGUGUAGCGGUGACAUGCGUAGAGAUUAGGAGGAACCACAGUGGCGAAGGCGGUCUGCUGGACAGCAACUGACGCUGAGGCGCGAAAGCGUGGGGAGCAAACAGGAUUAGAUACCCCAGUAGUC